CAGUAGCCGCGGGAAUACGAGGGGGGCAAGCGUUGUUCGGAAUUAUUGGGCGUAAAGGGUGCGUAGGCGGCCCCGCAAGUCUCAUGUGAAAUCUUCAGGCUCAACUUGAAGUCUGCAUGGGAAACUGCGGGGCUGGAGUAUGGGAGAGGUGAGUGGAAUUCCUGGUGUAGCGGUGAAAUGCGUAGAUAUCAGGAGGAACACCUGUGGCGAAAGCGGCUCACUGGACAAUAACUGACGCUGAUGCACGAAAGCUAGGGGAGCAAACAGGAUUAGAUACCCGCGUAGUCCCUGUCUCUUAUAC
Molecule: ribosomal RNA, 301 nt
Filed under: uncultured bacterium
Lineage: Bacteria
Description: partial 16S ribosomal RNA
Rfam family: Bacterial small subunit ribosomal RNA
Source: RNAcentral